GACGAACGCUGGCGGCGUGCCUAAUACAUGCAAGUAGAACGCACAGUUUAUACCGUAGCUUGCUACACCAUAAACUGUGAGUUGCGAACGGGUGAGUAACGCGUAGGUAACCUGCCUGGUAGCGGGGGAUAACUAUUGGAAACGAUAGCUAAUACCGCAUAAUAUUGAUUAUUGCAUUAUAAUUGAUUGAAAGAUGCUAUUGCAUCACUACCAGAUUGACCUGCUUUGUAUUAGCUAGUAGGUGAGGUAACGGCUCACCUAGGCGACGAUACAUAGCCGACCGGAGAGGGUGAUCGGCCACACUGGGACUGAGACACGGCCCAGACUCCUACGGGAGGCAGCAGUAGGGAAUCUUCGGCAAUGGACGAAAGUCUGAACGAGCAACGCCGCGUGAGUGAAGAAGGUUUUCGGAUCGGAAAGCUCUGUUGUAAGAGAAGAACGGGUGUGAGAGUGGAAAGUUCACACUGUGACGGUAUCUUACCAGAAAGGGACGGCUAACUACGUG
Molecule: ribosomal RNA, 505 nt
Filed under: uncultured bacterium
Lineage: Bacteria
Description: partial 16S ribosomal RNA
Rfam family: Bacterial small subunit ribosomal RNA
Source: RNAcentral